This 497-nucleotide ribosomal RNA is filed under the name uncultured bacterium. RNAcentral's name for it is "partial 16S ribosomal RNA". It matches the Rfam family "Bacterial small subunit ribosomal RNA", at positions 28 to 507 of the family's 1533-position model. The record is from RNAcentral.
GACGAACGCUGGCGGCGUGCCUAAUACAUGCAAGUUGAGCGAUGAAGAUUGGUGCUUGCACCAAUUUGAAGAGCAGCGAACGGGUGAGUAACGCGUGGGGAAUCUGCCUUUGAGCGGGGGACAACAUUUGGAAACGAAUGCUAAUACCGCAUAACAACUUUAAACAUAAGUUUUAAGUUUGAAAGAUGCAAUUGCAUCACUCAAAGAUGAUCCCGCGUUGUAUUAGCUAGUUGGUGAGGUAAAGGCUCACCAAGGCGAUGAUACAUAGCCGACCUGAGAGGGUGAUCGGCCACAUUGGGACUGAGACACGGCCCAAACUCCUACGGGAGGCAGCAGUAGGGAAUCUUCGGCAAUGGACGAAAGUCUGACCGAGCAACGCCGCGGGAGUGAAGAAGGGUUUCGGAUCGUAAAACUCGGUUGGUAGAGAAGAACGUUGGUGAGAGUGGAAAGCUCAUCAAGUGACGGUAACUACCCAGAAAGGGACGGCUAACUACGUG